This 253-nucleotide ribosomal RNA is filed under the name uncultured bacterium. RNAcentral describes it as "partial 16S ribosomal RNA". It matches the Rfam family "Bacterial small subunit ribosomal RNA", at positions 524 to 776 of the family's 1533-position model. The record is from RNAcentral.
UACGAGAGGUCCAAACGUUAUUCGGAAUUACUGGGCUUACAGAGUUCGUAGGCGGCUCUACAAGUGAGGUGUGAAAUCCCACGGCUCAACCGUGGAACUGCUUGGCAUACUGGCGGUCUUGAGCAACCUAGGGGCGAGCGGAACAAAUGGUGGAGCGGUGAAAUGCGUAGAUAUCAUUUGGAACGCCAAUGGUGAAAACAGCUCGCUGGGGGUUUGCUGACGCUGAGACACGAAAGCCAGGGGAGCAAACGGG